RNAcentral lists this ribosomal RNA (292 nucleotides) under uncultured bacterium. RNAcentral describes it as "partial 16S ribosomal RNA". It matches the Rfam family "Bacterial small subunit ribosomal RNA", at positions 505 to 796 of the family's 1533-position model. The record is from RNAcentral.
GUGUCAGCAGCCGCGGUAAUACAGAGGGUGCAAGCGUUAAUCGGAAUUACUGGGCGUAAAGCGUGCGUAGACGGUUAUCUAAGUCGGGUGUGAAAGCCCCGGGCUCAACCUGGGAAUUGCAUUCGAUACUGGAUAGCUAGAGUUCGGCAGAGGGAAGUGGAAUUUCCGGUGUAGCGGUGAAAUGCGUAGAUAUCGGAAGGAACAUCAGUGGCGAAAGCGACUUCCUGGACCAGAACUGACGUUCAGGCACGAAAGCGUGGGGAGCAAACAGGAUUAGAAACCCGCGUAGUCC